This 255-nucleotide ribosomal RNA is filed under the name Magdalenasaura leurosquama. RNAcentral's name for it is "partial small subunit ribosomal RNA". The record is from RNAcentral. Lineage: Eukaryota; Metazoa; Chordata; Lepidosauria; Squamata; Gymnophthalmidae.
CUAACCGCCCUUAGAAAAAUUCAGCCUAUAUACCGCCGUCGCCAGCUUACCUUUUAAAAGUAUAUCAGUAAGCUAAAAAGUAUUUUACUAAAAAGUCAGGUCAAGGUGUAGCACAUAGGUCGGAGGAAAUGGGCUACAUUAUUUAAUCUAAAUUAUUAACGAAUUUCUAAAUGAAAACAUAAUGAAGGUGGAUUUAGCAGUAAUUUAAACAAGAAUAUUUAAAUUAAACAAGCCCUAGAACAUGUACACACCGCC